GUUAUAGAUGGUGGUGUAGAUGAUGCUGGGUCUAGUCAGGUUAUAGAUGGUGGUGUAGAUGAGGCUGGGUCUAGUCAGGUUAUAGAUGGUGGUGGUGUAGAUGAGGCUGGGUCUAGUCAGGUUAUAGAUGGUGGUGGUGUAGAUGAGGCUGGGUCUAGUCAGGUUAUAGAUGGUGGUGUAGAUGAGGCUGGGUCUAGUCAGGUUAUAGAUGGUGGUGUAGAUGAGUCUGGGUCUAGUCAGGUUAUAGAUGGUGGUGUAGAUGAGGCUGGGUCUAGUCAGGUUAUAGAUAGUGGUGUAGAUGAGGCUGGGUCUAGUCAGGUUAUAGGUGGUGGUGUAGAUGAGGCUGGGUCUAGUCAGGUUAUAGAUGGUGGUGUAGAUGAGGCUGGGUCUAGUCAGGUUAUAGAUGGUGGUGUAGAUGAGGCUGGGUCUAGUCAGGUUAUAGAUGGUGGUGGUGUAGAUGAGGCUGGGUCUAGUCAGGUUAUAGGUGGUGGUGUAGAUGAGGCUGGGUCUAGUCAGGUUAUAGAUGGUGGAGUAGAUGAGGCUGGGUCUAGUCAGGUUAUAUAUGGUGGUGGUGUAGAUGAGGCUGGGUCUAGUCAGGUUAUAGAUGGUGGUGUAGAUGAGGCUGGGUCUAGUCAGGUUAUAGAUGGUGGUGUAGAUGAGGCUGGGUCUAGUCAGGUUAUAGAUAGUGGUGUAGAUGAGGCUGGGUCUAGUCAGGUUAUAGAUGGUGGUGUAGAUGAGGCUGGGCCUAGUCAGGUUAUAGAUGGUGGUGGUGUAGAUGAGGCUGGGUCUAGUCAGGUUAUAGAUGGUGGUGUAGAUGAGGCUGGGUCUAGUCAGGUUAUAGAUGGUGGUGUAGAUGAGGCUGGGUCUAGUCAGGUUAUAGAUGGUGGUGUAGAUGAGGCUGGGUCUAGUCAGGUUAUAGGUGGUGGUGUAGAUGAGGCUGGGUCUAGUCAGGUUAUAGAUGGUGGUGUAGAUGAGGCUGGGUCUAGUCAGGCUAUAGAUGAUGGUGUAGAUGAGGCUGGGUCUAGUCAGGUUAUAGAUGGUGGUGUAGAUGAGGCUGGGUCUAGUCAGGCUAUAGAUGGUG
RNAcentral lists this long non-coding RNA (1081 nucleotides) under Salmo salar (Atlantic salmon). RNAcentral's name for it is "lncRNA (ENSSSAG00000107773.1, ENSSSAG00000118831.1)". Lineage: Eukaryota; Metazoa; Chordata; Actinopteri; Salmoniformes; Salmonidae. The record is from RNAcentral.